This 555-nucleotide ribosomal RNA is filed under the name uncultured bacterium. Its description in RNAcentral is "partial 16S ribosomal RNA". It matches the Rfam family "Bacterial small subunit ribosomal RNA", at positions 355 to 902 of the family's 1533-position model. The record is from RNAcentral.
UGGGGAAUUUUGGACAAUGGGGGAAACCCUGAUCCAGCCAUCCCGCGUGUGCGAUGAAGGCCUUCGGGUUGUAAAGCACUUUUGGCAGGAAAGAAACGUCGCGGGUUAAUACCCCGCGAAACUGACGGUACCCGCAGAAUAAGCACCGGCUAACUACGUGCCAGCAGCCGCGGUAAUACGUAGGGUGCAAGCGUUAAUCGGAAUUACUGGGCGUAAAGCGUGCGCAGGCGGUUCGGAAAGAAAGAUGUGAAAUCCCAGAGCUUAACUUUGGAACUGCAUUUUUAACUACCGGGCUAGAGUGUGUCAGAGGGAGGUGGAAUUCCGCGUGUAGCAGUGAAAUGCGUAGAUAUGCGGAGGAACACCGAUGGCGAAGGCAGCCUCCUGGGAUAACACUGACGCUCAUGCACGAAAGCGUGGGGAGCAAACAGGAUUAGAUACCCUGGUAGUCCACGCCCUAAACGAUGUCAACUAGCUGUUGGGGCCUUCGGGCCUUGGUAGCGCAGCUAACGCGUGAAGUUGACCGCCUGGGGAGUACGGUCGCAAGAUUAAAAACUU